ACGUUCCUACGGGGGGCAGCAGUGGGGGCGAUUGGACAAUGGGGGGAACCCUGAUCCAGCGACGCCGCGUGAGUGUAGAAGUAUUUCGGUAUGUAAAGCUCUGUCAGCAGGGAAGAAAGCAAUGACGGUACCUGACCAAGAAGCCCCGGCUAACUACGUGCCAGCAGCCGCGGUAAUACGUAGGGGGCAAGCGUUAUCCGGAAUUACUGGGUGUAAAGGGAGCGUAGACGGCUGUGCAAGUCUGGAGUGAAAGGCGGGGGCCCAACCCCCGGUCUGCUCUGGAAACUGUAUGGCUGGUGUGCAGG
Molecule: ribosomal RNA, 305 nt
Filed under: uncultured bacterium
Lineage: Bacteria
Description: partial 16S ribosomal RNA
Rfam family: Bacterial small subunit ribosomal RNA
Source: RNAcentral